Molecule: long non-coding RNA, 7748 nt
Filed under: Heterocephalus glaber (naked mole-rat)
Lineage: Eukaryota; Metazoa; Chordata; Mammalia; Rodentia; Bathyergidae
Description: lncRNA (ENSHGLG00000031867.1)
Source: RNAcentral
CAAGAAUUUAUAUCUUUUUUCCAGUAAGAUUUUUGUUCACUUAUUCUUUUCUGGCCAGGAUAAAGUACAAUAGAUAGAAUCAAAACUGAGAUAGCUCUACCAGAAGGUAGGGCAAAUAGAAACUUGGCAUUACUUAGUUCUCCUUUCCCUUUGGGGGAAAUAACUGUGCCCUUGAAUUUCUGCACUAAAUCACCUAGGAGGGAUUGAAAUUAAAAACCUCAGAGAGUAAUUAGCAACAAAACAUUCUAAUGUCAAGAAGUAAAUUUUAUGGAACCUUAUUUGUAAUAGUUAUUGGGCCUCUGUGAAGCCAAAUGGUGAAAUUAUUGCGGCAAUACAAAUAGGCCAAAAAGAGAAAAACAGCCCAAAAUAGCACAGAUAUUGAAAAUCAGGACAGAGAUAAUUUCUCUACACAUAAAAAGCAAUCAAUUGCUAUGCCUUCACUAAUUCAUUAACUGCAAAACAAAGCCUGUUUGUUUGGUACAGCACCAGCUACCCCAUGUUUGAAUUGUUAUGUGACUGAAGUGUGAGAAAUUUGAAUCAUUUAUUCUCCAAAAAGUUUUGCUCACUUAUUAUGCAAGUUUCAGGUCAGAAAAUGUCCACGGUCUUUCCCAUCACAGAGUUUACCAUCUAGUUGUGAGGAAGACAUUGGACCAAUUAUUACCCAAGUGAACCUCUAAUUGCAGACAUAAGAACAAAGACAGCACCAGCCAGGAAGCCUGACCUAGUUUGCAAGUCAAGGAAGACUUCCUGGAGGAAAUGAUAGCUAAACUGGAACCUGUCAGGCCAGGGAUCUAGCUCAGUGGUGCUGCCACCUGCCUCACAAGUGCAAGGUCCCAAGUUUGAUCCCUGAUACUAAAAAAAACAAAAACAAACAAACAAAAAAAAAAACAAUAAGCUGGAACCUGUCAAUGUGGAUAAAUCAGCCAGGUAAAGAAGUAGAUAAAGUGUUCUAGACAAAGAGAACAGCAUUUAGGGAAGUAGACAUGGCAGGGGAGGACCUUGAUGUAGCCAAAGAAUGGAAAACAACAUGUAUUGUGUGAGUGACAAGUAACUGGAGAGUGGGAAAAGUGUGGCUAGAGUUGGAGGCAGAGUCUGGUCUUAGAGCCUUGCUGGAUCACAUGACAUUAGAGCAACAAUCGUUGCUGGACUUGGGUCAGAAGCAAAGAUAAGAGACAUGAAUAAGACCAGGCCCCUCAAGGAUAUUCUGGGCUUCUCGAGGGAACAGCCUAGGAAAAGGUCCAUCUCCCUGGACUGGGCUUAGAGGCACUGCUGGAUAUUCCCCAAUUCUCUGAGCACCCAAGAAAGUCUGUGCAGAGACAUCCAGGACCAUGCCUAACCCAAGACUACUCCAAGCAUCUCUCCUCGAGCCAAUCCUUCUUUUAUUUUCAAGAUGGCACAUCUGUGCUCAAACUCCAGGCCUCAUCUCCCAAGCUCAAAGAGGAAGAACAAUUUACUUCCCUGCCCAGGUCACUUUCCAGUGUCUAAGAGGGUUUCUGGGACCACUGCUUCAGCUGCAGCCUUAAUUCCUUGAUUGCCACCUACAACCCAGCACAUGCAAAGGGGCCAGGGACAGAAUAAUGCCAAGCAUGCCAGACACCAAUUGGCACUGAAUCUAAUCAAAGACCGUUGUUGAUCUCUUUCUUGAUAAAUAUUUAUUAGAGAAUGGAAAAAAAAUCUUUAACAAACUCUCAUAUGAGCAUACGUUGGAUGUACUCAGAAUACAUAGGAUCCCUACCCAGGGAGUGGCAGGAACAGUAUUCCCCUUGUCACCACUAAAGAAAGCAACUCUAUGAAAUGGAGAAUGUUCUCCAAUUAGAACCCAAGGCAAUGGAUCAAAAUUUAUAAUAUGCAGUCGUGAAUUAUAGAACAAUCAGAGAAAUGAUCCCAUAUAGAAACCUGCCAUGCCAGGAAUCUCAGCAAUUUUCUAUGAGAACUCAUCACUAGACAGCCCCCACUGAAACCACACCUGUCCUCAGCCUCCCACCCAUGAUCCCAGGCUAUCAGGCCAGGCUUAGGCUUUUUCUUUUCUUUUUUAAAAUUUGUUAUUAAUAUAUGUUUGUGACAUAUAAUAAUUACAUUCAUUUUUGGGAAUUGGUACAUUCACAUAUUGCAUGUUGAUCAUCUUUACUCUUCUUUCCCUUUCCCCUCUUUUCCUUUCCCAGAUCUUCCCAUCUUCAAAAUCUUCCUGUUUCCUGCCAUCUUUAUUUUGCUGUUUAAAUUAUUUAUAUUUUGGCUUUCUCAUAUGAAAAACCAUGUGAUAUUUAACCUUCUGUGUCUGAUUUACUUCACUUAGCAUUAUAUCUCAAGAUCCAUCAAUUUUCCUACAAAUAACUCAUAUUUAUCCCUCUUAUGGCUGAGUAGUACUCUAUUGUGUAUAUUUUCCACAUUUUCUUUAUCCAUUCAUUUGUUGAUAGGCAUACAGUAUAGGUAACUUCCAGAAUUUAGCUAUUGUGAACUGUGCUGCUAUAAACAUGAGUAUUCAUUAAUCAUUAUAAUAUGAUAACUUUAACUCUUUUGGAAAGAUACCCAGAAAGGGUAUAACUGGGUCAAAUUGAAGUUUUUUACUUUUAGUUUUCUGAGAAAUCUCCAUACUGAUUUUCAUAGGGGUUCUACUAGUUUACAUUCCCAUUAACAAUGUAGAAGUUUCCUUUAUCCCCACAACCUCACCAAAAUUUGUUGUUUCUUGAGUCUUUGAUGAUACCCAUUCUUACUGAAGUAAGAUGGAAUAUCAGUGUUUUGAUUUUUGUUUUUUAAUGGCCAAAGAUGCUGAAAAGCUUUUUAUGUACUUAUUGGUCAUUUGCACUUCUUUUAAGAAGUGCCUAUUCAUUUCAAUUGCCCAUUUUUGAUUGGGUCUUUUGUUUUUUGAGGUCUAAUUUUUUUUCAGUUCUUUAUAAAUUCAAAAUAUUAGUCUUCUCUUCAAGGAGUAGCUGGUAAAAUUAUUUUCCCAUUCAGUAGGUUAUCUCUUCAAUCUAUUUCCUUUGCUAUGCAGAAGUUUUUUUUAAUUUGGGGUAAUGCUAUUCUUAUAUUAUUUCAUGUAUAGUUUGGGAUUCUGUUCAAAAAGAACUAUGCCUAUGCCUUUGUCUUCAAGAAUUAGAUAUUUUGUCUUCCAGCAUGUUCAGCAUCUGUUGUUAUAUGUAGGUCUUUGAUCUAUUUUGAUGUUAUAUUAGCUUAGGAUGAGACGGAUGGGUCUAGAUUCAUUCUUUUACACAUGGAUAACUAAUUUUCCCAGCACCGUGUGUUAAAGAGACUGUCUUUUCUCCAGCAUUUGUUUUUAGUAUCUUUGUCAAAGAUCAGACUAAAGGUGAAAAGGGCUGUUUCUGUAUCUUCUAUUCUUUUCCAAUGCUGUACAUGUCUAUUUUUUAUCCUCUUUUGAUGAUUAUAGCUUUGUAGUAUAACUUGAAAUAUGGAAUUGUAAUGCCUCUUGCUUUGCUCUUAUUGUUCAGGAUUGCUUUGGCUCCAUAUAAAUAGCCUCAUAUAAAUUUUAGGAUUGUUUUUUCUAGUUCUGUGAAGAAUGUUGUUGGUAUUUUGACUGGAAUUGCAUAAAAUCCAAGUAUUAUUUUUGAUAAUACGGUCAUUUUGACAAUAUUGAUUCUGCCCAUCCAGGAAUGUAGGAUAUCUGCCCAUUUUCUAAUGUCCUCUUCAAUCUUUCUUCAGAGUGCUAUAGUUUUCCUUAUAGAUAUUUUUCACUUCCUUGGUUAAGUUAGUACCUAAGUAUUUAAUUUUUUUUUUUUUUUUUUUUUUUUGGUACCCGGGAUGGAACUCAGGACCUUGCGCUUUUGAGGCAGGCAGCGGAACCACUGAGAAAAAUCCCUGGCCCCAGUAUUUAAAUUUUUUGAAGCUACCAUGAAUGGGAUUGUUUUCCUAAUUCCUUUCUUAGUGGGUUCAUUGUUGAUGUACAGUCUUGGAGAUUUUCAAGUUCAGAGUGAACUAUCAGUGAGAAAUCGAGCUUGAGGGUUCUGGAGUCAGGAGUAGACUCACAUCCAGCUCUAGAUACUUCCAAGCUGGAUGACUCCAGGCAAGUGGUUUAAACUUCUAAACCCAGUUUUCUCCUCUGUCAAGUAAAAAUAAUAGCUUCUCUAGAAAGAAUAUGUAUGAGGAUAAUACCUGCAAAACUCUCAACACAGAGCCUAGCACAGGGUAAAUGUUCAUUAAAUAUUUGGAACCUUGCUCCCCUCUCUACCAGCUCAGAUUGGUUGCCAAAAAUUCUGGUUCUCAUUGUAUUUGUGGGAACUGCUUCUCCUUCAAGCCAGCCUAAAAGAGCCAGUUUGCUCACUUUUGCCCAGCUGGGCUAGCAGCAUCCACCUCUUCUCAGCCAGCAUUUAGCUCAGUGCUAGCCUCUUCUCUCUAUUUAACACCAAAAGGUAUUGAUUUUCCUAAGCUAUUUCCAUUAUGCAGUACCCUCAAGAACUAUUUAUUCCAUCAGUUCUCAUCCCCUCUUUUUUUUUCUUUUUCUUUUUCUUUUUUUUGUACUGGGGAUCAAACUUGGGUCCUUGUGCUUUGGAGGCAGGUGGUGGAAACACUGAGCUAAAUCCCCAGCCCAAAUCCCCUCUUUUUUUUUUUUUUUUGGUACCGGUGAUCGAACUCGGGACCUUGCGCUUGCGAAACAGGCACCGGAAGCACUGAGCUAAAUCCCCAGCCCCCAAAUCCCCUCUUCAUAGCCACUCUCCCUUGACCCACAGGAUCCUCAGCUGCUGAGGUAUAGAUCUGUUUCAUUUUGCACUUGCUUAAAGGUCAAACAUGAAUUUCUCCCCAUUAUUGUACUGCAUCUUGUCACACAGACUCUUUGUUUCAUGGAUUAGUCACAGUCUUGCUAUCAAAUUAAAUAUUCCUCGGUGGUUAUUUUUAGAGAGAUCUUUUUCUAACUCUAUGUGGUACAAUGAUGUGUGUGCACCCACAGCUCUGGAAUCCAGGCAUUACCAGGUGGGCUUCAAAAUGCCUCUAGAAAGCAGCAGCCAGCAGAGCAGUGAAGUUUGUAACCUAGCUCUGGCCAUGGGCUUCUACAUCCAGCCCACAAUAUUUAAUCCUCUCUGCCUUGGAUGAGAAAUAAUUCAUUAAUCAGUCUACUAGAAGCCCUAAAGAGACUCUUAGCACAACUCUUAUGAGUUGAGCAAAGCAUGCCUGUGCUAUCUCAAUCUCUUGUUUGGCUGUCUCCUCUAUCCUAGUGUAAGGACACCAAGGAUAAUAGUCCCCUCAGUCCUUGUACCUUCAUGAAGCUUGCUCUCAGAAAAGGGCCUAUCACCAUCCUGACUGAGACCUGAGUCAAUGAUAGUGGUUACAUCCCUGUUUCUUCCUAUAGGUUCUGCCUGCACACUCAGGCAUGCCUCAGUAGAGAAAUGAGGUCUUCAAAACAGAACAGAAUCUCAGAUCUAGUUGGAGUGGGUAGACAUGGGAAGAAGGAGUUUGCUAACGGCGAGUCUUCUUUACCUACUGGAAGGCACUAUGACAAUAAGAAGUUGUACCUUCCUUGGGCCUCAAGGAACUCAAAGGUAGCCAGAGUGACAAAACCCAUAGAUAGACUAAAUUAUAAUUCAAGACAGGAUUUAACAUUUUCCCCUGGGGUAUGGUCUGUGAGGAGCUCUGUCAGAUUUCUUACUCCUCAUGUUCCCUUCCAUGUGUGGGUCUCCACUGACUGUGACAUGUGGGGCCUCUCUCACCCAGAUCAUGUGAGACUAGAGUGAAGUGGAAAAGGGGUAAUUCUCACAUCAGUUUGCAUAUCCAGUUGACCUCACUCUAAACUGCCUCUUUCACUAAGCCUCCAUCACUAAAGAAGAUGACAAUUUGGCUUUCAUCUCAGUUUUUCUUUCUCAAUUUGUUCAGAAGUUGAGUAGGGAAAAGGAACUAUUUGUUGGAGUAUUGGGAGCCCUUUCAAAGAGCCCCUAUAGACUAUAAAUCCUUCAGAUGUUCAGAGGCACAGGAGGCUGAGUGGCUUUAAAAUAUCCAGGAAGGCUUAGCCAAGGAGGCAAGGUCUCAGAGGAUGAGUUUAGUUUAGUUGGAUAUGGCCCAAGAGUAAACAGAAGCAUUCUUGGAGGAGGUCUCAUAAACCAAGGCACAAGAGAGAGGGAGAAACAUACCUAAAUAGGAAGCAAUGACAAGGUAACCAGAGCCCAAGAUUGCCUUGGGAGAGGUGGCAAGUGGAUAGAGGCAGACUGUGGAGAAUUGUGAGCAGUCAGUGUUGACUAAUCAGUUGGUCAAGAUAUAUUCCCAAAGGCUCUUCUAAGUCCAGGGGAAGUGACUACAGGCAGUCAAUGAAGGGUUACAAGACAGUCUAUAUGAGGCCACUGUGAGGCCUUCAAGUGGAAGAAUAUGACUGUUGAAGACUGGCUAGAGGUGCGGAAACAUGCAGGAGGACACAAAUAUUUGAUCUUGAACCAUUCCACCAGCUGAGGACAGCCUGGUUAACCAUUCAGAAAGCUUACUGGGAAAGGUGCAAAUGUGGAUCACUUGAUGGGAACUAUUUUUUCCAGUGAGGAGAAGUAGAAUCAGUAAAUGAACAGUUGAGAAAAAUCAGCAUCUUAUUUAACCACCAAAGAAAGACAGAUUGAAGCUACAAUGAGACCCCUCUUUCACCCAUCAAAGUAAAACAAUAAAAAUAAAUGAUAGUGUCCAGACAAGUGUAUGAGAGUAAGGGAUCUACUCUAAGUGAGUGGGUCCAGUCAGUCCUCCCACCAACAAAUAGCAAGUAGAUAUCAAGAAUCCUAAAUCUAUUAGUUCUAUGAGAAUAUAUCAGAGUAAGUUCCAUUUACAUAGAUAUUCAAUGCAAUGCUGUCUAUAAAUAUUGAAAAUAACUCAAAUGAAUACCAGUAGAGGAUGAAUUGAUUGAACAUGGGGCGUAUUAUGUGAAUUUUAUGUAAUCAAUAAUAUCCAUGAAAGCCAUAUACCAACAUAGAGAAUAUAUAUUUAUGUAACAUUCAGUGGAAAAAUAAUAGGCCUGAAACUGCUCACAAUGUGUGAUUAUGCAAGAAUAAACACAUGUAGAUACAAAUCAGAGGAAUAUAUACUAAGAAGUGCCUCUGUCUUUCUUUCUGGAAUGUAGUUGUAUAAAACAGUGCAGCUUCCUCAGAAGCAUAACACACACAGGCAGAGCACAGAGAUGGACAGCACUGAAGCCCACCUUUCUACCCUCCUGGCAAUGAGCAGAGAUGAUAUCUCAAAGCCAGGCUGUCAUUAUACAGAGAAAAGACAGCAUUAGGCAUGGGUUCCUAUAUCUACCUCAUCCUCCCCAGCCCCACUCAUCUACUAAUCUACCCUGGCAAGCCCAAGCCUUGACUUCCAAGACACAAGGCCUUUUUCUCUUUGUGAUGACUGAGGGCUGUGGUCACUCGGCAAAGCCUAGAGCCCCUCAGUGCCUCUCACACAAUGGUUGGAAAAAGGCAGUCAUCCCCCUGCACUGUACUCCUUGCCUCUACCUUCACACUGGCAGCUCCUAUUUUGCCCAUUUGGACUUUCAUCCCUAUUGCUCCAUGGAAAUCCCACAUUAAUGCUAUCAAGGAUGUCUGUGAUGGCAAAUCUGAUGAUUGUUUCUCUGUCCUUGUCCUACUUUUCCUACUCAGCAGUAUCCAACACAGUGACCAUUUCUUUCUUGGCACACUUGCUUUUACAAGCUUAUAAUAAACUAUAGAGUCAGCUGUCCAUAUCUGUGGUUUCCAGAUCAGUGGAUUCAACAAAUUCUUGUGGAUUGAAAAUAUUUUUAAAGAUUGUGUCUAGGCUGAACACAGAAAAACUUUUCUUGUCAUCAUCCACUAAAAAAU